This 468-nucleotide ribosomal RNA is filed under the name uncultured bacterium. RNAcentral describes it as "partial 16S ribosomal RNA". It matches the Rfam family "Bacterial small subunit ribosomal RNA", at positions 28 to 507 of the family's 1533-position model. The record is from RNAcentral.
GACGAACGCUGGCGGCGUGCUUAACACAUGCAAGUCGAACGGAAAGGCCCUGCUUUUGUGGGGUGCUCGAGUGGCGAACGGGUGAGUAACACGUGAGUAACCUGCCCUUGACUUUGGGAUAACUUCAGGAAACUGGGGCUAAUACCGGAUAGGAGCACCUGCUGCAUGGUGGGGGGUGGAAAGUUUCGGCGGUUGGGGAUGGACUCGCGGCUUAUCAGCUUGUUGGGGGGGUAGUGGCUUACCAAGGCUUUGACGGGUAGCCGGACUGAGAGGGUGACCGGCCACAUUGGGACUGAGAUACGGCCCAGACUCCUACGGGAGGCAGCAGCGGGGAAUAUUGCACGAUGGGCGGAAGCCUGAUGCAGCAACGCCGCGUGCGGGAUGACGGCCUUCGGGUUGUAAACCGCUUUCGCCUGUGACGAAGCGUGAGUGACGGUAAUGGGUAAAGAAGCACCGGCUAACUACGUG